RNAcentral lists this ribosomal RNA (497 nucleotides) under uncultured bacterium. RNAcentral's name for it is "partial 16S ribosomal RNA". It matches the Rfam family "Bacterial small subunit ribosomal RNA", at positions 28 to 507 of the family's 1533-position model. The record is from RNAcentral.
GAUGAACGCUGGCGGCGUGCCUAAUACAUGCAAGUCGAGCGAACAGACGAGGAGCUUGCUCCUCUGACGUUAGCGGCGGACGGGUGAGUAACACGUGGAUAACCUACCUAUAAGACUGGGAUAACUUCGGGAAACCGGAGCUAAUACCGGAUAAUAUAUUGAACCGCAUGGUUCAAUAGUGAAAGACGGUUUUGCUGUCACUUAUAGAUGGAUCCGCGCCGCAUUAGCUAGUUGGUAAGGUAACGGCUUACCAAGGCAACGAUGCGUAGCCGACCUGAGAGGGUGAUCGCCCACACUGGAACUGAGACACGGUCCAGACUCCUACGGGAGGCAGCAGUAGGGAAUCUUCCGCAAUGGGCGAAAGCUUGACGGAGCAACGCCGCGUGAGUGAUGAAGGUCUUCGGAUCGUAAAACUCUGUUAUUAGGGAAGAACAAAUGUGUAAGUAACUAUGCACGUCUUGACGGUACCUAAUCAGAAAGCCACGGCUAACUACGUG